RNAcentral lists this ribosomal RNA (468 nucleotides) under uncultured bacterium. Its description in RNAcentral is "partial 16S ribosomal RNA". It matches the Rfam family "Bacterial small subunit ribosomal RNA", at positions 28 to 507 of the family's 1533-position model. The record is from RNAcentral.
GACGAACGCUGGCGGCGUGCUUAACACAUGCAAGUCGAACGGAAAGGCCCUGCUUUUGUGGGGUGCUCGAGUGGCGAACGGGUGAGUAACACGUGAGUAACCUGCCCUUGACUUUGGUAUAACUUCAGGAAACUGGGGCUAAUACCGGAUAGGAGCUCCUGCUGCAUGGUGGGGGUUGGAAAGUUUCGGCGGUUGGGGAUGGACUCGCGGCUUAUCAGCUUGUUGGUGGGGUAGUGGCUUACCAAGGCUUUGAUGGGUAGCCGGCCUGAGAGGGUGACCGGCCACAUUGGGACUGAGAUACGGCCCAGACUCCUACGGGAGGCAGCAGUGGGGAAUAUUGCACAAUGGGCGGAAGCCUGAUGCAGCAACGCCGCGUGCGGGAUGACGGCCUUCGGGUUGUAAACCGCUUUCGCCUGUGACGAAGCGUGAGUGACGGUAAUGGGUAAAGAAGCACCGGCUAACUACGUG